AUUAGAUCACCGAAGUCAAGCAUCAUUGGGCGCGGUCAGUACUUGGGUGGAUGACCACCUGGGAACACUGCGUGCCGUUG
This 80-nucleotide ribosomal RNA is filed under the name Caerostris extrusa. Lineage: Eukaryota; Metazoa; Arthropoda; Arachnida; Araneae; Araneidae. The record is from RNAcentral.